RNAcentral lists this non-coding RNA (30 nucleotides) under Rattus norvegicus (Norway rat). Lineage: Eukaryota; Metazoa; Chordata; Mammalia; Rodentia; Muridae. The record is from RNAcentral.
UGAGAUUACAGAGGGGUCCAUGUCCCGUGC